CAGCAGCCGCGGUAAUACGAAGGGUGCAAGCGUUAACCGGAAUUACUGGGCGUAAAGGGCUCGCAGGCGGUUUCUUAAGUCUGAUGUGAAAGCCCCCGGCUCAACCGGGGAGGGUCAUUGGAAACUGGGAAACUUGAGUGCAGAAGAGGAGAGUGGAAUUCCACGUGUAGCGGUGAAAUGCGUAGAGAUGUGGAGGAACACCAGUGGCGAAGGCGACUCUCUGGUCUGUAACUGACGCUGAGGAGCGAAAGCGUGGGGAGCGAACAGGAUUAGAUACCCGCGUAGUCCCUGUCUCUUAUAC
This 301-nucleotide ribosomal RNA is filed under the name uncultured bacterium. Its description in RNAcentral is "partial 16S ribosomal RNA". It matches the Rfam family "Bacterial small subunit ribosomal RNA", at positions 509 to 807 of the family's 1533-position model. The record is from RNAcentral.